Molecule: ribosomal RNA, 429 nt
Filed under: Gemmatimonadota bacterium
Lineage: Bacteria; Pseudomonadati; Gemmatimonadota
Description: Gemmatimonadetes bacterium partial 16S ribosomal RNA
Rfam family: Bacterial small subunit ribosomal RNA
Source: RNAcentral
UAGGGAAUCUUCGGCAAUGGACGAAAGUCUGACCGAGCAACGCCGCGUGAGUGAAGAAGGUUUUCGGAUCGUAAAACUCUGUUGUUAGAGAAGAACAAGGACGUUAGUAACUGAACGUCCCCUGACGGUAUCUAACCAGAAAGCCACGGCUAACUACGUGCCAGCAGCCGCGGUAAUACGUAGGUGGCAAGCGUUGUCCGGAUUUAUUGGGCGUAAAGCGAGCGCAGGCGGUUUCUUAAGUCUGAUGUAAAAGCCCCCGGCUCAACCGGGGAGGGUCAUUGGAAACUGGGAGACUUGAGUGCAGAAGAGGAGAGUGGAAUUCCAUGUGUAGCGGUGAAAUGCGUAGAUAUAUGGAGGAACACCAGUGGCGAAGGCGGCUCUCUGGUCUGUAACUGACGCUGAGGCUCGAAAGCGUGGGGAGCAAACAGG